GGCAGGGUAGCUCAGGUGGUUAGAGCAGGCGAAUCAUAACCGUCAGGUCGUCGGUUCAACUCCGACCCCUGCCA
This is a non-coding RNA of Microgenomates bacterium 39_6, 74 nucleotides long. Lineage: Bacteria; Candidatus Microgenomatota. The record is from Rfam.